Molecule: long non-coding RNA, 1763 nt
Organism: Harpegnathos saltator (Jerdon's jumping ant)
Lineage: Eukaryota; Metazoa; Arthropoda; Insecta; Hymenoptera; Formicidae
Exons: 4
Source: RefSeq, a predicted model, not a curated record
CGGAAAAUAAAAUCCGAGCGCCGGUAUCCAGGAAUCUCUCGACUAUGGCGGACAGGCCGCCGAGGAAUAUUACGUCGUAACUGGAAACGCAAGAGACACAUACGCAUAAGAUGAUACGACUCUAUGUUCCUGCGCUGAGAUUAACUUUGUAUCCACCGCCGGGACCGGAAGAUACGUUACCGCCCUUCCAUGACUCGCCCAGGCCGAGGAUCUUCAAGUUAUCGCGGAAUCCAUAGAUCUCAGCCGAUCUCAAGUACCUUCGGAAGCCAUCCGUUUCGUCGGAGGCAACAGUGGCGACCAGGACAUCUAAAAUAUACGCGCACAAAAAUUCGCAAGAAAAGUACGAAAAAAUUUUCAUGUCAAAAGAGAAAUUGCAUAUUCCGGCAAUCAGGGCGAUUCUGGCGAAGAUGAAGCGCCCUUUUUUUAAAUUACCGUCGAGAUCGUACCGGCGAGAGACCAACUUUUGAUCCGACAGUCAUAGUUACUCAGAUGGUGAAAUCGUCAGCAUUACGCCGAGCUUGUGAUGUCACGUCAAAAAGUAGCGCCCGCGUGAGCCGCGGCACGUUCGCCGGCUACGUUAAACGCGCGAGAAGAGAGGCUGCUCUUGUAUUACUGAGCUGUCGAUAUCCUUACGCAAGCAAGAAUAUCCGAGAUAUUCUUAGAACGGGUAUACCGAAUCCCCAUGGAGAGCCAAGAAGCGGAAAAGAGCUUGUGGUACAAGCUCGUACUUGAAUCUGAUACUCGCGCGACGUUAAAAUAUUCGGCUUUGUCGAACGGCUUGCGAGAAGAUGCGGCGCGCACUUACGAAACAAUAAACGUGUAUACACACAUACACAUUUAACACAAGUGAUUCGUAUGAACAUUUACAUUGUAAGGCGACUAUCUCUCCUGAAGAGAAUUCACGAGAAUACGACACACAAUUCACUCGUCCGAUGAACAACGCCGGAAAUGAUGACGAUAAGGAUCGUGCGUCGGAUUACACGACGAAAGAAACAAGGACAAAGUAAAUUGGUUCGAGUUUAACGAGCAAAAUCGUUACGUCACGCUAUAUAUCACUUGACCAUUGGUGAACCUUAAAAGAUAAACCUUAGCUUUUUAGUUAGAUAGCCCCCGUAAGAUGGCCGUCUAAUAAAUAAUUUCCUCGAUUGCAAGCAUAGCGAUUCUUCGAAGACGCGUUUACUCGCGACAAAAAAGUUUUGUUAUCAGUUGACCAUAUAAGAUGCAACUUAAUAAUUAAUAAUUAGUUAUUUUUAAAAGUGUAACAACUUGUUUCACAUGAUUAAUUGUUUCAGCAAAAUAAAGCAACACCAAUUUUAUAAUUUUCUUAACGCAGAGUUACAGAUCGCUAUGCGGACAAGGAAAAGUAAACGUUAAAUGACGUAUCGCAAGAACAAUAAUGUUAGUAAAAGUUGCAAAUAACAAUGUGUAAAUAACGCCCUCGCGAGCAAAGUUUAUUAUUUCAGGCACGUAACACACAUCCAACAAGAAAAGAACCUCCUGACUCAUCGCCAACCAAACCGGGGUCGACGAACUAUGAUUUUCGCUGCCACUUUCCCGUUUCAAUAAAAUGAAUAAAUAAAUAUAAUAAUUUAUUAUAUUAACUCUUUGUAGCGUUUUGUAAUUUAUAGUUUAUCUUUCGAGAAAAUCAAAGAGUCGCGCUUAUGCGCGAAAAUGGGAUUCCCCAAUUGAACAUUUUUACCGUGAGACAACGCGUGAGUGUCCAAAAUCUAUGAAUUCGAAAAUAAAAAACAAGAUGCACGAUA